This 29-nucleotide non-coding RNA is filed under the name Mus musculus (house mouse). Lineage: Eukaryota; Metazoa; Chordata; Mammalia; Rodentia; Muridae. The record is from RNAcentral.
ACUGACUCUGAUAGCCUGUCUUUGAUUCC